GCGCAGCAGGCGAGAAUACUUCACAAUGUGCGAAAGCACGAUGAGGGAAUCCCAAGUGCUUGCACGUAAGUGUAAGCUGUUUCUCUGUCUAAAACGCAGAGAGAGUAAGGGCUGGGUAAGACGGGUGCCAGCCGCCGCGGUAAUACCUGCAGCUCGAGUGGUGACCGUUAUUAUUGGGCCUAAAACGUCCGUAGCCGGUUAAUAAAUGCCUGGGUAAAUCGGACCGCUUAACGGUUCGAA
RNAcentral lists this ribosomal RNA (240 nucleotides) under uncultured microorganism. RNAcentral's name for it is "partial 16S ribosomal RNA". It matches the Rfam family "Archaeal small subunit ribosomal RNA", at positions 330 to 571 of the family's 1478-position model. The record is from RNAcentral.